GAUGAACGCUAGCUACAGGCUUAACACAUGCAAGUCGAGGGGUAACGAGAGGAAAGCUUGCUUUCCUUGUCGACGACCGGCGCACGGGUGAGUAACGCGUAUCCAACCUGCCCCCAACUAGGGAAUAACCUUGCGAAAGUAAGACUAAUACCCUAUAAUUUCCUCAGAUGUCAUCUGACGAGGAAUAAAGAUUUAUCGGUUGUGGAUGGGGAUGCGUCUGAUUAGCUUGUUGGCGGGGUAACGGCCCACCAAGGCAACGAUCAGUAGGGGUUCUGAGAGGAAGGUCCCCCACAUUGGAACUGAGACACGGUCUAAACUCCUACGGGAGGCAGCAGUGAGGAAUAUUGGUCAAUGGGCGGAAGCCUGAACCAGCCAAGUAGCGUGCAGGAUGACGGCCCUAUGGGUUGUAAACUGCUUUUAUACAGGAAUAAAGUUAACCACGUGUGGUUAUUUGUAGGUACUGUAUGAAUAAGGACCGGCUAAUUCCGUGCCAGCAGCCGCCGCGG
This 506-nucleotide ribosomal RNA is filed under the name uncultured bacterium. RNAcentral describes it as "partial 16S ribosomal RNA". It matches the Rfam family "Bacterial small subunit ribosomal RNA", at positions 28 to 523 of the family's 1533-position model. The record is from RNAcentral.